GUAGGCGGCAAGCGUUGUCCGGGAAUUAUUGGGGCGUAAAGCGCGCGCAGGCGGUUCUUUAAGUCUGAUGUGAAAGCCCACGGGCUCAACCGUGGAGGGUCAUUGGAAACUGGAGAACUUGAGUACAGAAGAGGAAAGCGGAAUUCCACGUGUAGCGGUGAAAUGCGUAGAGAUGUGGAGGAACACCAGUGGCGAAGGCGGCUUUCUGGUCUGUAACUGACGCUGAGGCGCGAAAGCGUGGGGAGCAAACAGGACUAGAUACCCUGGUAGUCCACGCCGUAAACGAUGAGUGCUAAGUGUUAGGGGGUUUCCGCCCCCUAGUGCUGCAGCUAACGCAUUAAGCACUCCGCCUGGGGAGUACGGCCGCAAAGGCUGA
Molecule: ribosomal RNA, 376 nt
Filed under: uncultured organism
Description: partial 16S ribosomal RNA
Rfam family: Bacterial small subunit ribosomal RNA
Source: RNAcentral